UACGGAGGAUGCGAGCGUUAUCCGGAUUUAUUGGGUUUAAAGGGUGCGCAGGCGGGCUUGUAAGUCAGAUGUGAAAUCCUGUAGCUUAACUACAGAACUGCAUUUGAAACUAUGAGUCUAGAGUGUGGGAGAGGUAGGUGGAAUUCUUGGUGUAGGGGUAAAAUCCGUAGAGAUCAAGAGGAAUACUCAUUGCGAAGGCGACCUGCUAGAACAUAACUGACGCUGAUGCGCGAAAGCGUGGGGAGCAAACAGG
Molecule: ribosomal RNA, 253 nt
Filed under: uncultured Helicobacteraceae bacterium
Lineage: Bacteria; Pseudomonadati; Campylobacterota; Epsilonproteobacteria; Campylobacterales; Helicobacteraceae
Description: partial 16S ribosomal RNA
Rfam family: Bacterial small subunit ribosomal RNA
Source: RNAcentral